RNAcentral lists this transfer RNA (72 nucleotides) under Erinaceus europaeus (western European hedgehog). It matches the Rfam family "tRNA". From Rfam's summary of the family: Transfer RNA (tRNA) molecules are approximately 80 nucleotides in length. Their secondary structure includes four short double-helical elements and three loops (D, anti-codon, and T loops). The record is from Rfam by way of RNAcentral. Lineage: Eukaryota; Metazoa; Chordata; Mammalia; Eulipotyphla; Erinaceidae.
UGUGAAGUGGUACAAUGGUUAGAGCUUUGGACUUGAAAUCAUGAAGUCCUGAGUUCAAACUCAGCAUCCCAU